This 1160-nucleotide long non-coding RNA is filed under the name Manihot esculenta (cassava). RNAcentral's name for it is "long non-coding RNA (MESC_LNC005028)". Lineage: Eukaryota; Viridiplantae; Streptophyta; Magnoliopsida; Malpighiales; Euphorbiaceae. The record is from RNAcentral.
UCUUAAAGGAAGCAGAAUGUCAUAGUAUAUCAUCAUACAGGCUUCAAACAACCUGUCCUAGAAAAGCUAUUUUCUGCAAGAAUACACAAUGCAACAAACUAUUUAAUCAAUGUGGAUACCAAUCAAAUGUCUAAGGAAAGGUGAUAGUUAAUAGGAAAGGAACUCAUUAGAGCGAACUCUUAACACCUUAGACUCGUUAAUAAGAGAGUCUUAAAUCUCACAAUUUUGGAAAUAAAUUUUGCUUGUUUUAUUGAAUAAAAUUAAAACUCUUAUAUAGUGGAGGUUUAUACAGUCCUAAUACUAAUACUUUCUAAUUAGAGUAGAAAUCUAAUACAAGCAACUAAUAGAUAAAGAAAUAAGAUAACAUAAAUCUAAUAAUAAACACGUAAAAUAAGAUAUUAGAGAUAAGAUAAUAAAUAAAUAUAAUCUGUUUGUUAUGGAUGUUAUGAAUUUAAUCUAUCGGUUAUCUAUAACAUUAUUUUCCUCCUAAAAAGAGAGUUUGUCCAGUCGUCCUCAAGCUCAAAGGUAGAAUAUGUCGGGUGUCUAAACCAAAACCAAUAACUCUAUGUCCCUUUUCAUCACAUGAGAGAAAGUCAACUUUGGUAUUUUGGGGCACUACAGGUACCUCUGUCCUCUCAUUCACUUAUUGAGCAAAAUUUUAUUGGCUGCAUGUGAUUCAUAUUGUUGUAUGAAGGAAUUCAAUUUUCUCUUGUAGAUUUGUUGAAUCACCCAUGACAACCGGCUUUUCUUCUGCCUUUUUUAUCAAGGUUAAAUGCUUAGCUAAAAUUUCAAGUAAAGCUCAUAUCUCUUUUUGUUCAUAACAUUGUUGUUACUAGAUUGAUCUCCCAUGACGUUUUGCUCUGAUACCAAGUUGUUACGGUACUGGAAAGGAGCUCAUUAGGGAGCUCUUAACAACUCGUUAACGAGAGAAUCUUAAAUCUCACAAUUUUGAGAAUAAAUUCUGCUUGUUUUAUUGAAUAAAAUUAAACCUCUUAUAGUGGAGGUUCAUACAAUCCUAAUACUUUUUAAUUAGAGUAAAAGUCUAAUACAAGUAACUAAUAGACAAAGAACUCCUGAGAUAAGAUAACAGAAAUCUAAUAAUAAACGCAUAAGAUAAGAUACUAGAGAUAAAAUAAUAGAUAAAUAUAAUCUGUUUGUUA